UAACCCUUAAAGGUCAUGCAGCAGUCUCAAGUAAGCUUGCUGGAGUUCCUUCAGUGGAGCCCAAGAGCCACUGGGAAUUUUCCUGAGAAGAAAGGUCUUUACUUUUUACUGCCUUUGGAAGUCUUUGUGCUAGUCAAAGCCUGACCUCUAAACUUAUUGCUUUAAUAUUCUUGGUUGUAUAUUCUCCAUUGAAGAUCUUUAUGGCUGGAGGUGCAUCUUUGGGUUUGGAGAUUGUUGGUUUGAGAAGACAAGGAAUUGCUGCUUCUUUCAAUGCCACAUGGUAUAUAAUGCAGUGGGUCCUGGAUAGCUCACAGGCCCAGAGGGCAUGUGUUCAAAGCUUGUUUCGUUGCUGUCAGCCCUUCAGUAUGUUGUUUAACACCUUCCGCCCUCGGUUUCUAUCUACCUCUUAAGGUUGUUGUAAAUUUUAAAUGACUUUAAACAUAUAAAGGUUUCGAUCAGUGCCUGGCACUUUAUAAAUUCCAGACACAUGGGAUGUCUUACAUUAACUGUGUGCAUUAUGUCUCAGAUAGAAAUGCUUUUAGAUACUCAGUCACUAACACACAGGCACAUUUUAAAGCCAGUGAGGAGCGUUCAAGUUUCUUGUGAUUCACCCUCAUCUACUUGUUUUCAGAGGGCCAUGGUGGAGAUAGUGGCAGUGAUGCUGUGCUGGGAGAAAAGUGAGGACCAUCCUCUCAAAGCUUCUCAGGAAAGACUUUCUAAGCCUGGAACUGAUCAGAAAGGUCAUGGAGCUGAUCAAGAAGAGGUGAUCCUCUCCUGCUCAGGACUGACCCCUCCCCCAUCCAGGGACUUCUCCCAUCUUUGUGGUAUUUUAUUUUUAUUUUUUUUGAGAAGAGCCUCACUCUGUCACCCAGGCUAGAGUGCAGUGGUGCGAUGUCAGCUCACUGAACCUCUGCCUCCCGGGUUCAAGUAAUUCUCCUGCCUCAGCCUCCUGACUAGCUGGGAUUACAGGUGCACACCACCAUGCCUGGCUAGUUUUUGUAUUUUCAGUAGGGUCGUGAUUUUACCUUG
Molecule: long non-coding RNA, 1029 nt
Filed under: Callithrix jacchus (white-tufted-ear marmoset)
Lineage: Eukaryota; Metazoa; Chordata; Mammalia; Primates; Cebidae
Description: lncRNA (ENSCJAG00000078899.1)
Source: RNAcentral